UUUAAAUGUCUAGUAGAUAUAUAAUUUAAUUCAUAAAGAGAACACGAAUCCAAAUACAGUGGUGGCAAUACUUCAAUUCAAAAUAUUACACAUUCCUAAUCCAUCUCAGUCGGUACAUAAUACUUAAACAAGAGUAAUUGAAAUUACUACAUGAAGACAAUGAGAGCUAACACGCGAUAGUGCUACACAUACAAAAGUUAUGUCAAAAGCCNNNNNNNNNNNUUUAUCUAAUAAUCAAGUCGAUCGUUUCCCUUUUGCAUUCGCUUCCACACUAGAAUUCGCCUUGCAUAUUCUCACGCUCACCGAAAUAUGUAGGUCUUCAUCAUCAUUUAGGUGAACUCGAGAUUCAAACAUUUUGGACAUUUCUUCAUCAUUUUCGUUCAUCGCAAGGUUUACUAAUGAAGAAUUGUCGCUAGACGAUUCACCGGGUGAUUUUUCUUUGACAACCCAAUCCCAAAAUCCGCAUUUCUCACUGCAACAGAGAAAUAAUCUCCCUUUAUUUGCUGUCUACUUCUCCACCAUGAAACACUUCUCAAAUCCAUUCUUGCAUGCCCGACAUCUGUGCUUCCUUGGGCAUUCAUCAAAGAAAUGGCCCN
RNAcentral lists this long non-coding RNA (596 nucleotides) under Olea europaea subsp. europaea. The record is from RNAcentral. Lineage: Eukaryota; Viridiplantae; Streptophyta; Magnoliopsida; Lamiales; Oleaceae.